Molecule: ribosomal RNA, 373 nt
Filed under: uncultured organism
Description: bacterial SSU rRNA
Rfam family: Bacterial small subunit ribosomal RNA
Source: RNAcentral
CGUAGGGAGCAAGCGUUGUCCGGAUUUAUUGGGCGUAAAGAGCUCGUAGGCGGUUAAGUAAGUCAGGUGUGAAACCUCCAGGCUCAACCUGGAGACGCCACUUGAUACUGCUUUGACUUGAGUUCGGUAGGGGUAAGCGGAAUUCCUGGUGUAGCGGUGAAAUGCGCAGAUAUCAGGAGGAACACCGACGGCGAAGGCAGCUUACUGGCCGAUACUGACGCUGAGGAGCGAAAGCGUGGGGAGCGAACAGGAUUAGAUACCCUGGUAGUCCACGCCGUAAACGUUGGGAACUAGGUGUGGGAGGUAAUCAACGCCUUCCGUGCCGUAGCUAACGCAUUAAGUCCGCCGCCUGGGGACUACGGCCGCAAGGCUA